Small nuclear RNA from Molossus molossus (Pallas's mastiff bat), 107 nucleotides. The record is from RefSeq and is a predicted model, not a curated record. Lineage: Eukaryota; Metazoa; Chordata; Mammalia; Chiroptera; Molossidae.
AUGCUCUCUUCCGCAGCACACACACUAAAAUUGGAACAAUACAGAAAAGAUUAGCAUGGCCCCUGUGCAAGGAUGACAUACAAAUUCAUGAAGCAUUCUGUAGUUUU